CUUGCUUUCUUUGCUGGCGACCGGCGCACGGGUGAGUAACACGUAUCCAACCUGCCCUUUACUCGGGGAUAGCCUUUCGAAAGAAAGAUUAAUACCCGAUAGCAUAAUGAUUCCGCAUGGUUUCAUUAUUAAAGGAUUCCGGUAAAGGAUGGGGAUGCGUUCCAUUAGGUUGUUGGUGAGGUAACGGCUCACCAAGCCUUCGAUGGAUAGGGGUUCUGGGAGGAAGGUCCCCCACAUUGGAACUGAGACACGGUCCAAACUCCUACGGGAGGCAGCAUG
RNAcentral lists this ribosomal RNA (279 nucleotides) under uncultured bacterium. Its description in RNAcentral is "partial 16S ribosomal RNA". It matches the Rfam family "Bacterial small subunit ribosomal RNA", at positions 75 to 353 of the family's 1533-position model. The record is from RNAcentral.